AUGAAGAACGUAGCGAAAUGCGAUAAGUAAUGUGAAUUGCAGAAUUCAGUGAAUCAUCGAAUCUUUGAACGCACAUUGCGCCCGCCAGUAUUCUGGCGGGCAUGCCUGUUCGAGCGUCAUUUCAACCAUCAAGCCCCCGGCUUGUGUUGGGGACCUGCGGCUGCCGCAGGCCCUGAAAAGCAGUGGCGGGCUCGCUGUCACACCGAGCGUAGUAGCAUACAUCUCGCUCUGGGCGUGCUGCGGGUUCCGGCCGUUAAACCACCUUCAUAACCCAAGGUUGACCUCGGAUCAGGUAGGAAGACCCGCUGAACUUAAGCAUAUCAAUAAGCGGAGGA
RNAcentral lists this unclassified non-coding RNA (335 nucleotides) under soil metagenome. RNAcentral describes it as "partial contains 5.8S ribosomal RNA, internal transcribed spacer 2, and large subunit ribosomal RNA". The stretch from base 1 to 119 matches the Rfam family "5.8S ribosomal RNA", at positions 36 to 154 of the family's 154-position model. The record is from RNAcentral.